AGGACGAACGCUGGCGGCGUGCUUAACACAUGCAAGUCGAGCGGUAAGGCCUUUCGGGGUACACGAGCGGCGAACGGGUGAGUAACACGUGGGUGAUCUGCCCUGCACUUCGGGGUAAGCCUGGGAAACUGGGUCUAAUACCGGAUAUGACCUCCUAUCGCAUGGUGGGUGGUGGAAAGAUUUAUCGGUGCAGGAUGGGCCCGCGGCCUAUCAGCUUGUUGGUGGGGUAAUGGCCUACCAAGGCGACGACGGGUAGCCGACCUGAGAGGGUGACCGGCCACACUGGGACUGAGACACGGCCCAGACUCCUACGGGAGGCAGCAGUGGGGAAUAUUGCACAAUGGGCGAAAGCCUGAUGCAGCGACGCCGCGUGAGGAUGACGGCCUUCGGUUGUAACCUCUUUCAGCAGGACGAAGCGCAAGUGACGGUACCUGACAGAAGAACGCACCGGCUAACACGUCGCCAGCAGCCGC
Molecule: ribosomal RNA, 473 nt
Filed under: uncultured soil bacterium
Lineage: Bacteria
Description: bacterial SSU rRNA
Rfam family: Bacterial small subunit ribosomal RNA
Source: RNAcentral